UACUGCACUCUAAAAACACUCUGGUCAAAUUUGGGUUAAUUCAACCAGUACGGGGUCAAAAAUCCACCCACACAAGUCUGGUUAAAAAAAAUUAACCAUUUUCCUGGUUAAAAGUCCAAAAAAGUGUACCAAAUUUUUGUUGAAUUGAUAAUUUUUAACCAGGAAAUGGGUCAAAUUUAACCAGAAUGUGUUGGGUGGAUUAUCAACCCAAUUCCUGGUUGAAUUUAACCAGAGUGUUUUUAGAGUGUGUAUUUGCUUUUU
Molecule: non-coding RNA, 261 nt
Organism: Paramuricea clavata
Lineage: Eukaryota; Metazoa; Cnidaria; Anthozoa; Malacalcyonacea; Plexauridae
Source: the annotation of a GenBank genome assembly